Molecule: ribosomal RNA, 253 nt
Filed under: uncultured bacterium
Lineage: Bacteria
Description: partial 16S ribosomal RNA
Rfam family: Bacterial small subunit ribosomal RNA
Source: RNAcentral
UACGGGGGGGGCAAGCGUUGUUCGGAAUUACUGGGCGUAAAGGGUUUGUAGGGGGCUUAUUAAGUCAGACGUGAAAUCCCUCAGCUUAACUGGGGAACUGCGUCUGAUACUGGUUGGCUCGAGUGCAGGAGAGGAACGCGGAAUUCCAGGUGUAGCGGUGAAAUGCGUAGAUAUCUGGAGGAACACCGGUGGCGAAGGCGGCGUUCUGGACUGCAACUGACACUGAAAAACGAAAGCCAGGGGAGCAAACGGG